GUUUCCUUUCAACUUACUCUAACGGCAGAUUCUGACAUUUUAGCUCUUCAAAGGAGGGAAAGAAGACGUAAUAGUCUUAAUAACUGAGAUGGAUCUGCGUGAGCCAAAAUGGAAAUUCUUUGCUGUCAGUGUGCUGCUGCUCACACUGUACCCCAGUGA
Molecule: long non-coding RNA, 159 nt
Organism: Micropterus salmoides (largemouth bass)
Lineage: Eukaryota; Metazoa; Chordata; Actinopteri; Centrarchiformes; Centrarchidae
Exons: 3
Source: RefSeq, a predicted model, not a curated record